ACGGGAGGCAGCAGUGAGGAAUAUUGGUCAAUGGACGGAAGUCUGAACCAGCCAAGUCGCGUGAAGGAUGAAGGUAUUAUGUAUUGUAAACUUCUUUAGCAGUGGAGUAAUAAGGGGAUCGCGAUCCCUGAUGCAAGUACACUGAGAAUAAGGAUCGGCUAACUCCGUGCCAGCAGCCGCGGUAAUACGGAGGAUCCGAGCGUUAUCCGGAUUUAUUGGGUUUAAAGGGAGCGUAGGCGGAUUAUCAAGUCAGUGGUAAAAUCGUGUGGCCCAACCAUACCUCGCCAUUGAAACUGUUAGUCUUGAGUGCACGCAGGGAUGCUGGAAUUCGUUGUGUAGCGGUGAAAUGCUUAGAUAUGACGAAGAACUCCGAUCGCGAAGGCAGGUGUCUGGAGUGCAACUGACGCUGAGGCUCGAAAGUGCGGGUAUCAAACAGGAUUAGAUACCCUGGUA
Molecule: ribosomal RNA, 453 nt
Filed under: uncultured Alloprevotella sp.
Lineage: Bacteria; Pseudomonadati; Bacteroidota; Bacteroidia; Bacteroidales; Prevotellaceae
Description: partial 16S ribosomal RNA
Rfam family: Bacterial small subunit ribosomal RNA
Source: RNAcentral